GAUGAACGCUGGCGGCGUGCUUAACACAUGCAAGUCGAACGAAGCACCUUGAUUUGAUUCUUCGGAUGAAGAUCUUGGUGACUGAGUGGCGGACGGGUGAGUAACACGUGGAUAACCUACCUAUAAGACUGGGAUAACUUCGGGAAACCGGAGCUAAUACCGGAUAAUAUUUUGAACCGCAUGGUUCAAAAGUGAAAGACGGUCUUGCUGUCACUUAUAGAUGGAUCCGCGCUGCAUUAGCUAGUUGGUAAGGUAACGGCUUACCAAGGCAACGAUGCAUAGCCGACCUGAGAGGGUGAUCGGCCACACUGGAACUGAGACACGGUCCAG
This 330-nucleotide ribosomal RNA is filed under the name uncultured bacterium. Its description in RNAcentral is "bacterial SSU rRNA". It matches the Rfam family "Bacterial small subunit ribosomal RNA", at positions 28 to 334 of the family's 1533-position model. The record is from RNAcentral.